Non-coding RNA from Parelaphostrongylus tenuis, 72 nucleotides. Lineage: Eukaryota; Metazoa; Nematoda; Chromadorea; Rhabditida; Metastrongylidae. The record is from the annotation of a GenBank genome assembly.
GCGUCGAUGGUGCAACAGUUAGCGUAAGCUCCCCGAGAGAGUGAGAUCUGGUUUCGAAUCCCGGCUGAUGCA